GACGAACGCUGGCGGCGUGCCCUAAUACAUGCAAGUAGAACGCUGAAGGAGGAGCUUGCUUCUCUGGAUGAGUUGCGAACGGGUGAGUAACGCGUAGGUAACCUGCCUGGUAGCGGGGGAUAACUAUUGGAAACGAUAGCUAAUACCGCAUAACAGUAGAUGUUGCAUGACAUUUGCUUAAAGGGUGCAAUUGCAUCACUACCAGAUGGACCUGCGUUGUAUUAGCUAGUUGGUGGGGUAACGGCUCACCAAGGCGACGAUACAUAGCCGACCUGAGAGGGUGAUCGGCCACACUGGGACUGAGACACGGCCCAGACUCCUACGGGAGGCAGCAGUAGGGAAUCUUCGGCAAUGGACGAAAGUCUGACCGAGCAACGCCGCGUGAGUGAAGAAGGUUUUCGGAUCGUAAAGCUCUGUUGUAAGAGAUAGAACGAGUGUGAGAUGUGGAAAUGUUCACACU
This 460-nucleotide ribosomal RNA is filed under the name Streptococcus mitis. RNAcentral's name for it is "bacterial SSU rRNA". It matches the Rfam family "Bacterial small subunit ribosomal RNA", at positions 28 to 478 of the family's 1533-position model. Lineage: Bacteria; Bacillati; Bacillota; Bacilli; Lactobacillales; Streptococcaceae. The record is from RNAcentral.